This is a long non-coding RNA of Neopsephotus bourkii (Bourke's parrot), 889 nucleotides long. RefSeq lists it as uncharacterized. The record is from RefSeq and is a predicted model, not a curated record. NCBI's taxonomy places the organism in Eukaryota, Metazoa, Chordata, Aves, Psittaciformes, Psittacidae. The transcript has 3 exons.
GGCGCGGGGGGCGGGUGCCCGCGCCGGCAGGGCCGCUCAGCACGCUCGGCAAUCGAUUAAAGGACAAGUGCCGCCGCCGCCGCCGCCGUGUGCGCUCCGCGCCUCACGCGGACGGACACACGCGCGCGCCGCCCCCUCAGGGCACCGCUGCCGCCAUCCUCCGAGCACCGGGGCUACCCCCUGCGCCCUGCCGUGCCCGCUCCUCCUCUCCCCUUCCCUCAGUAGCGGCAGCCGCUGCCGCCGGGCUGGUGAAGUUGCCGGCGGAGUCAUGAUUCAGCACUUCUAUUUUUAACCCCUCAGCGCGGCCCGGUGCUCUCCCGCCGGCGUUGGCUUGGCGCCAAUUACCCCUACGGUGGGAGCCCUCCGGGGGGGGGGGGGCCUGGGAAGCUUUGAGAGCUGCCGUUAUCUAAUGAACAUUCAAAGUAAAUAUGAGACCACUGAAAAGCAGGAGAAAAUGCAAAAGAUGUCACUGAAAUGCUACAAGCCUUGUUGUCAAGAUUUUUAUGAUGCUUUUCAUCAAAAUGUUGAAAACUGAAAGCUUCCAGCUGGCUCUCCUUACAGUCUAUAGCUGCUGGCAUGGCAAUGGACUGAAGACAGGACAGAAACAAGUCUCCAGCAAAAGCUAUGUGAAAGGAAAACACAUGGAGAAUAACAAAGGAAUAAUAUUAUUUGCCAUAUUCUAAUCCAGUUUCCAACAUCCACCAUCUUUAACAAAUGAAACCAAGGCCACAGUCACUAAUACCAGGGUGCUCCAGGUCAUUUUUUCUCUGUGUAUUUUAACCCCCACACAAACUGAGGUUCACAUUGCUGAGCAUAAGCAGUUCCUAUCAAACAGCCCUUACACAAAAGACACUAUAAUAUUUCUGGCCACUUUAUGUUUGCCAGUAAG